AGUAACGGCGAGUGAAGCGGCAACAGCUCAAAUUUGAAAUCUGGCUCUCGGGCCCGAGUUGUAAUUUGUAGAGGAUACUUUUGAUGCGGUGCCUUCCGAGUUCCCUGGAACGGGACGCCAUAGAGGGUGAGAGCCCCGUCUGGUUGGAUGCCAAAUCUCUGUAAAGUUCCUUCAACGA
Molecule: ribosomal RNA, 178 nt
Filed under: Fusarium oxysporum
Lineage: Eukaryota; Fungi; Ascomycota; Sordariomycetes; Hypocreales; Nectriaceae
Description: partial large subunit ribosomal RNA
Rfam family: Eukaryotic large subunit ribosomal RNA
Source: RNAcentral